Molecule: long non-coding RNA, 3961 nt
Filed under: Paramuricea clavata
Lineage: Eukaryota; Metazoa; Cnidaria; Anthozoa; Malacalcyonacea; Plexauridae
Source: RNAcentral
UUUUUUGUGCUAUAAAGUGCUAACUGAAUUCCAGUUCAUAUUUACAAUAUAUUUAUCACAUUUUUCUAUCCCAAACGACGGAAAAGGCAUCGGAAAGGUCUUAAAAUGUUAUUCAGAUCUCACAGGUAAGAAUAUUUUAUUUUGAUUAAUUAUUUAAGUACUUUAAUUGCGAAAGAAUGUGUGAUUGUUCUUGAGUCAUUUGCCUAAAAUUCCGUUGAAUGUUUGAAUUUACCGCGUUCAAUUUGCAUAAAAAACCUACGAAAUGUUGGUUUCUGGCAAUGAAAGAAAGAAUAAAAUAUCAAUUCGAAUCCAUUAUAGCAAAUUCUGUACUAAAUUACGCACUAAUGCACUAUUAUUAACAAUUUAAUAGCAAUAAAUAUUGCCUUUGGCUGUUCGACAUAUAAAUUAUAUGGCACUCAACUUGACCCUUGUAUAUAUUACUGUAAACAUUCGAAUGCCUUCAAAGAUAUGUUAGUAUUUUAAUAUAUGAAUAAGGAUUAGAAUUACAGAAGAAUUUAUAAAGCUUUGAAUGUAAUUUGAAUAUAAUAUUUUCAGUGUUUUGAUCUUAAUAACCCAUUAAGGCCAUUAUAAAGCUUGCAAAUGUGCCCAAAUGCAUCCCUGCUGUUGCUUUACUUUGCCUAGUGCCAGACAAUUUCACUCGUCAAGGGGCCAGACAGUCUUGCAAGCCCUUAAUGAACUUCAGUUUAUAAUGUGUAACAUGUUUGUGACACAAUGCCUGAAAUGUUUGCCUUAUGUAUUUUCAGAUUAAUAUUGGUGCUGGGCUAUCGCCUGGCUCCAAAUAUUGUUCUCAACAAUCAAGGAAUUCUGGAUUGAGUUCACAAACUGGUGUUGUAAGGUAAGAAUUAACAAGAAUAAAUAGUCUGCUUUUAGUGCUUUAUAUGAAGAAAAUGACAAACUGGCCCAGCUAAGGUAGUCACCCAGGAUCUGUUCAUAUGAGCCAUGCUGGCCCGUUAAACCGAGUUAGCUUGCUUGGCCGGGCCAAGUUGUUAUUUGUUUCACAUGAGGCGGGCUAGCCUGACAAGUGCUACCGUAUAAGAAAUUACCAAACAAUUUUAUAUAUGGUGGGAAAGCGAUAUUUGUUUUAAUUUUGAAAAUGGUAUUUUUAUUGAAGGAAACUGCUUCAGAAGUUUUAAUAUUGUUCAUUAAUGUUAUUUUUUUAAAUUCUUAUAUGCUUUCUACUGUAGAUAGAAUAAAGCAUGCGUUGUGACACAAUUGUCAAUUGCCAGUCUGGUUUGCCGGGCUGGCCGGGAAAGGCGAGAUCUUGCCUUGCUCAAACGGGAGCCCAUCAAAUUAACCAGGCCAGCCCGGUUCUCAUGUGAAUCAAAUCUCAAAAACAUAUAAAAACAAUAUACACGUACAAGACCAGAUCUCGGCACUUGCAAGUCGGUCCAGCCAGACGAAUCAGCCUUGAUCUUGUAAACAGCCCAUGUAAGGACCUUGUAUGUAGGAAUUAUUACAUUUCUUGAUACUGCAUCAAAAAUUUAGUAAAUAUUAACAACACAAUUACAUGUGAAUCCUAAAUCUACCCCCAAUGCAGCCCAUUGUAAGGCCUGUUGGCACUGUACUCAAUUUUGGUAUCCGUAACAUGUUUACCAUGCUUGGACUACCGUACUCCUAUUCACGCAGGCUGAGCAUGGAUAAAUUUGGUACAGGUACCAAGUUUAUCUGUGCCAUACUAGGCGUAAAAAAAUACCUGUGGUUCCGGUUCCCGAUCGACCCUAUUUUUUUCUGCCCACCCUAUUAUUUUUUCAAAGUAAUUGACUGUGUGACCCUAUUUUCUCCAGAUGGUUGUGGGCUGCUGCCAAAUGACAUCUGUUGUCACACUAAUUAUUGAAAAAUCCAUGAAAAAAUAUUUAAAAAAAAAGUAUUUCCAACCUACCAACCCUAAUUUUUUUGCGAUAUGAAACCGGAACCACAGGUAUUCUUUUACGCUCUACUAGAUUAAUCUUGCUAUCUCAAUGCCAAACAAUUGUACAUGCCCAGGGUCCUGAUGUAUUAACCCAAUUAGUGGCAGCACUCUUCCCCUGAGUCCCUGAUUAGUUAAAUCGUCUGGCAUUAGACAGAGUAAAUAAUAAAGUAGGGCGCAUCUUGGUGCAUUGGCACUUAAAGGGUUAAUGUAAUGUUACUGCACUACAUUGAUGCUAACUGUAUAAUGAAUUAAUAAAAGUUAUUUAAGAGAAGACAGUCAGUUGAGUAUCAUAUUUAGUCCACAAGAUAUAUUCCCCUUUAAACUGGAACUGUCGCAUGACAGAUCAUAAAUUAAUUGACAUAAUCUACUUGGCUAACUAAUAAUUAUUAGACAGUAGUGCACAAUGCAACUAAAUGGUUAAUUUGACACAUGGGCAGAUAGUCUGAUUAACCCAUUGAGCACGACUGCUCUCCCCUUGACAAGUAAAGUUAUCUGGUGUUAGACAGAGUAAAAUAAUAAAGUAUGAUGCAACAAAAUUUAGUGUCUGGUGAAACUAAGCUUGCUGAUUAAUAGUGAUUAUUGGUUAUUACUUUUUAAAAUAACAUGGGUCCAAGGUCUUUGCCAGAAGAAGUUGCGCCAGAUGGUGGUUUGCCUAAUACCAGAUGGUAGCGGGUGGUGCCCAGAUACCUAUUAUGGCACCAGAUAGUAGUCUACAGGGUUUUUUUUCAGGACUUUCUCUUGGGUCCAUUUUUGCAGAGAAGAUUGAGUUUAGCUGAACAGCUGGGGUGGCUGCACCCCCUCCCCCCUACCGCGGGAGGCUGACACCUAUGCUCAAUAAAUGUAGUUGAGAUGGAAUGUGUUAAAGCAGGGGCACUAAGGGACACUAUAAACUGGUUAAAGAUGGCGAAUGCAUAGUUUUUCUUGUGUUGCAAGAUGAAUUCCAGCCAUUUUUUCUUAAUUGUCGGGCUUCCAACUGAAAACUAAUUUCCACACGUCACAAAAUUUUAUAACUCAAACAACUUCAUUUUUACUGUACUGAAACUUUGGUGAGAAGAUUGAGUUUCAAAACUCAAUUCAAGAUUGAAUUUUUGGGCCCGUUUAACGGCCCUAAAAAAUCCCUGAAAAAACCCCUGGUCUACUGGGUACAGGUCUGGAGAAAGCCUGUCUCUGGUUAACAUAUGUAUAUUUGUCAUACCCUGCAUCACCUUGUACAUACAAAUGAAAUAUGAACUGGCUUUGUUAUUGGUUAAAUAAAGGCUGUUUAUUACAUCCACAGUUAGUAGUCCCUUUUACACUGUAGGUUAAUGAUAAGUCUCAAGGUCAUUGUUCUGGCAUAUUUUGUAUAAAGUAAUGAUUACAUUUUCAAUAAGUAAAAUUUUCCUUUUACAGAUUCUAAGAUGAUUGAUCUUUGAUGGCAAUUGCAUGCUGUGUUUGGAACAGUAUUAAUUAAAUGUACAUGAGGAAAUCAAUGGACUUGGUGAAUGAACAAUGGUAUAGAUAAUAUUGAUUGUGAAAUGGACAAAAUGUUAAACAAAAUAUGGCUUCAGGGGAAACCAGGGUUUUUUCAGGGAUUUUUUAGGGCCCUUUAAACGGCCCCAAAAACUCAAUCUUGAAUUGAGUUUUGAAACUCAAUCUUCUCAUCAAAGUUUCAGUGCAGUAAAAAUGAAGUUGUUUGAGUUAUAAAAUGUUGUGACGUGUGGAAAUUAGUUUUCAGUUGGAAGCCCGACAAGCCAUCUUUAACCAGUUUAUAGUGUCCCUGUUUUAACACAUUCCGUCUCAAUUACAUUUAUUGAGUACAGGUGUCAGCCCACCGGUAGGGGGGGGGGGAUGCAGCCACCCCAACUGUUCAGCUAAACUCAAUCUUCUCUGCAAAAACGGACCCAAGAGAAAAUCCUGGAAAAAACCCUGGGAGAAACUCAAUUCACUACAACACAUUGCUGUGCUAUCAGAACUACUAUAAUUUCAGUAAAUAUACAAGUUAUUUUCUUAGAAUGAGAAUUUUUUUCUUAAACUGAGAAUGUUAGGUGUAAA